AGUGAACGCUGGCGGUAGGCCUAACACAUGCAAGUCGAACGGCAGCACAGUAAGAGCUUGCUCUUACGGGUGGCGAGUGGCGGACGGGUGAGGAAUACAUCGGAAUCUACUUUUUCGUGGGGGAUAACGUAGGGAAACUUACGCUAAUACCGCAUACGACCUACGGGUGAAAGCAGGGGAUCUUCGGACCUUGCGCGAUUGAAUGAGCCGAUGUGGGAUUAGCUAGUUGGCGGGGUAAAGGCCCACCAAGGCGACGAUCCGUAGCUGGUCUGAGAGGAUGGUCAGCCACACUGGAACUGAGACACGGUCCAGACUCCUACGGGAGGCAGCAGUGGGGAAUAUUGGGCAAUGGGCGGAAGCCUGAUCCAGCCAGACCGCGUGGGUGGAGAAGGCGUUCGGGUUGUGAAGCCCUUUUGUUGGGAGAGAAAAGCAGCAGGUUAAUACCCCGCUGUUCUGACGGUACCCGAAAAAUAAGCACCGGCUAACUACGUG
Molecule: ribosomal RNA, 492 nt
Filed under: uncultured bacterium
Lineage: Bacteria
Description: partial 16S ribosomal RNA
Rfam family: Bacterial small subunit ribosomal RNA
Source: RNAcentral